Molecule: ribosomal RNA, 253 nt
Filed under: uncultured bacterium
Lineage: Bacteria
Description: partial 16S ribosomal RNA
Rfam family: Bacterial small subunit ribosomal RNA
Source: RNAcentral
GACAGAGGGGGCAAGCGUUGCUCGGAAUCACUGGGCGUAAAGGGCGCGUAGGCGGGAUGGCAAGUCGGGCGUGAAAUCCCUCGGCUCAACCGAGGAGCGUCGGCCGAUACUGUCGUUCUUGAGGGAUGAAGAGGAGACUGGAAUUCCCGGUGUAGCGGUGAAAUGUGUAGAGAUCGGGAGGAACACCGGUGGCGAAGGCGGGUCUCUGGGCAUCUCCUGACGCUGAGGCGCGAAAGCGUGGGGAGCAAACGGG